CAAUGGGGGAACCCUGAUGCAGCGACGCCGCGUGGAGGAAGAAGGUCUUCCCCAUUGUAAACUCCUGUUGUUGAGGAAGAUAAUGACGGUACUCAACAAGGAAGUGACGGCUAACUACGUGCCAGCAGCCGCGGUAAAACGUAGGUCACAAGCGUUGUCCGGAAUUACUGGGUGUAAAGGGAGCGCAGGCGGGAGAACAAGUUGGAAGUGAAAUCCAUGGGCUCAACCCAUGAACUGCUUUCAAAACUGUUUUUCUUGAGUAGUGCAGAGGUAGGCGGAAUUCCCGGUGUAGCGGUGGAAUGCGUAGAUAUCGGGAGGAACACCAGUGGCGAAGGCGGCCUACUGGGCACCAACUGACGCUGAGGCUCGAAAGUGUGGGUAGCAAACAGGAUUAGAUACCCUGGUAGUCCAAGGGCGAAUUC
RNAcentral lists this ribosomal RNA (422 nucleotides) under uncultured bacterium. RNAcentral describes it as "SSU rRNA". It matches the Rfam family "Bacterial small subunit ribosomal RNA", at positions 369 to 808 of the family's 1533-position model. The record is from RNAcentral.